Molecule: long non-coding RNA, 102 nt
Organism: Protopterus annectens (West African lungfish)
Lineage: Eukaryota; Metazoa; Chordata; Ceratodontiformes; Protopteridae
Exons: 3
Source: RefSeq, a predicted model, not a curated record
CACACUUAUUCCAUGUUUCUUGUUAGGUCAGUCACACUUAUUCCAUGUUUCUUGUUAGGUCAGUCACACUUAUUCCAUGUUUCUUGUUAGGUCAGUCACACU